GCCGGGCGUGGUGGCGUGUGCCUGUAGUCCCAGCUACUUGGGAGGCUGAGGCAGGAGAAUUGCUUGAGUCCGGGAGGCGGAGGUUACAGUGAGCCGAGAUCACACCAUUGCACUCCAGCCUGGGCGACAGAGCAAGACUCUGUCUCAA
Molecule: unclassified non-coding RNA, 148 nt
Organism: Pongo abelii (Sumatran orangutan)
Lineage: Eukaryota; Metazoa; Chordata; Mammalia; Primates; Hominidae
Rfam family: Metazoan signal recognition particle RNA
About the family: The signal recognition particle (SRP) is a universally conserved ribonucleoprotein.
Source: Ensembl